GACAUAUCAAUACACCUCCAGUAGACAACACAAUUGACACAAACAAACCCUAGAUCUGAAAAUUUGAAAUCAAAAUCUGUUGUCUUCUUCGCCUCAACCAGGGCAAGACGCAGCAGCGAGCAGCCCUCCACGAUCGCCAACUCUCGUAUCUCGCCUCUUCUUCCCAUUCUUCCGUUCAUUACCGCCGACCGCGAACCAGAAGCCAUUGUUGCCAUCGCCCGUCCACCGUGAACCCGCGACUGGAGCUCCACAGACUGCCGUCGGAAGUGUUGCUAGUCCCCGGAAGGAUUUGCCGUGCCGCCAGAGUAGGUUCCGCCGACUACUAUUCCUGCUCCAAUUCCGAUUUCAGUGUAGCAGACUAGCAGAGGGCACUGGGCAGAGGCGCAAUAUGAAGUGGAAGUCAAAAUUGGGAUAAAGGCUGUAUGCUAAGUAAUGAAUUGUUGGUUGUGUAUGUAUUAUUAUGAUGAAGGAAAACCAGAAUGCAUGCUAUCACAGGGAGAUUGAGUUCACACUUCCUCCUAUGGUCCAAUGUUGGUGGCAAUAUGCAGAUAAUAGUUUGCAGAGAUGUAAUAGUUUGGAGAUUAAAUAAGAAGUUAAAUUCUAUAAUGUUUUAAAUUUUCAAUUGUAUAUUCAUGAAAUGUAUAUAUGUUUUUCAACAAUUAUUUUA
Ipomoea triloba (trilobed morning glory) is the source of this 667-nucleotide long non-coding RNA. RefSeq lists it as uncharacterized. NCBI's taxonomy places the organism in Eukaryota, Viridiplantae, Streptophyta, Magnoliopsida, Solanales, Convolvulaceae. The transcript is spliced from 4 exons. The record is from RefSeq and is a predicted model, not a curated record.